RNAcentral lists this ribosomal RNA (1433 nucleotides) under metagenome. RNAcentral's name for it is "bacterial SSU rRNA". It matches the Rfam family "Archaeal small subunit ribosomal RNA". The record is from RNAcentral.
UCCCGUUGAUCCUGCGGGAGGUCGCUGCUAUCAGAAUUCGAUUAAGCCAUGCGAGUCCAGGCCACUUUAUGUGACCGGCAGACUGCUCAGUAACACGUCGUUAAUCUGCCCUAUUGUCUAGGAUAACCUCGGGAAACUGAGGAUAACACUGGAUAGGUAAUUUCUUUUGGAAUAAUUCAUUGCCUAAAGGCAACGCAAUAGGAUGAGACGGCGGCUGAUUAGCUAGUUGGCGGGGUAAAGGCCCACCAAGGCAAAGAUCAGUACGGGCCAUGAGAGUGGGAACCCGGAGAAGGGUACUGAGAUACGGACCCUAGCCCUACGGGGUGCAGCAGGCGCGAAACCUCAGCAAUGCACGAAAGUGUGACUGGGGGAUUCUGAGUGCUCAUGUAAAGCAUGGGCUUUUGCCAAAGGUAAGUACUUUGGCGAAUAAGUGGGGGGUAAUACUGGUGCCAGCCGCCGCGGUAACACCAGAGCCACGAGUGGGGACCGCUAUUAUUGGGCCUAAAGCGUUCGUAGCCGGUCUAGUAAAUCUUCUGUGAAAUCGUUGCGCUUAACGUAACGGCGGGCAGAAGACACUGCUAGACUUGGGACCGGGAGGCGUGUGAGGUAUUCAGGGGGUAGCGGUAAAAUGCGAUCAUCCUCUGAGGACCACCUGUGGCGAAGGCGUCACACGAGAACGGAUCCGACGGUGAGGGACGAAAGCUAGGGGAGCGAACCGGAUUAGAUACCCGAGUAGUCCUAGCAGUAAACUCUGCAAGCCAGGUGUUGCGCAUUCUACGGGAGUGUGCAGUGUCGGAGAGAAGUCGUUAAGCUUGCCGCCUGGAAGUACGGUCGCAAGGCUGAAACUUAAAGGAAUUGGCGGGGGAGCACUACAAGGGGUGCGGCGUGCGGUUUAAUUGUAUUCAACACCGAGCAUCUCACCAGGAGCGACGGCAGAAUGAAGGUCAGUCUAAAGGGCUUACCUGACGAGCCGAGAGGUGGUGCAUGGCCGUCGUCAGCUCGUGCUGUGAAGUGUCCUGUUAAGUCAGGCAACGAGCGAGACCUAUGCCUACAAUUGCCAGCGAGUAGCGUGCUACGAUCGGGCACUUUGUAGGGACUGCCUUGGAAACAAGGAGGAAGGUGUAGGCUACGGUAGGUCUGUAUGCCCCGAAUCCCUGGGCUACACGCGCGCAACAAUGGUCGAGACAAUGGGCUGCGACACCGAAAGGUGAAGCUAAUCCUCGAAACUCGAUCUUAGUCUGGAUCGAGGCUUGCAACUCAGCCUCGUGACACCGGAAUCCCUAGUAAUCGGACUUCAUCAAAGUCCGGUGAACAUGUCCCUGUUCCUUGUUCACACCGCCCGUCAAACCACUCGAGCAGGGUUUGAAUGAGGUGCAUUUUUUUGAGUGCAUCGAAUUUAGGCUCAGUGAGAUGGGUUAAGUCGUCACAAGGUA